Molecule: ribosomal RNA, 497 nt
Filed under: uncultured bacterium
Lineage: Bacteria
Description: partial 16S ribosomal RNA
Rfam family: Bacterial small subunit ribosomal RNA
Source: RNAcentral
GAUGAACGCUGGCGGCGUGCCUAAUACAUGCAAGUCGAGCGAACAGACGAGGAGCUUGCUCCUCUGACGUUAGCGGCGGACGGGUGAGUAACACGUGGAUAACCUACCUAUAAGACUGGGAUAACUUCGGGAAACCGGAGCUAAUACCGGAUAAUAUAUUGAACCGCAUGGUUCAAUAGUGAAAGACGGUUUUGCUGUCACUUAUAGAUGGAUCCGCGCCGCAUUAGCUAGUUGGUAAGGUAACGGCUUACCAAGGCGACGAUGCGUAGCCGACCUGAGAGGGUGAUCGGCCACACUGGAACUGAGACACGGUCCAGACUCCUACGGGAGGCAGCAGUAGGGAAUCUUCCGCAAUGGGCGAAAGCCUGACGGAGCAACGCCGCGUGAGUAAUGAAGGUCUUCGGAUCGUAAAACUCUGUUAUUAGGGAAGAACAAAUGUGUAAGUAACUAUGCACGUCUUGACGGUACCUAAUCAGAAAGCCACGGCUAACUACGUG